GACGAACGCUGGCGGCGUGCUUAACACAUGCAAGUCGAACGGUGAAGCGCCUUCCUUUUUGGACGGGGUGGGUGCGUGGGGAAAGGGUGAGUAACACGUGAGUAACCUGCCCCGUUCUUCUGGGUAACCGCAUGCAAGUGUCGCUAAUACGGGUUAUUCUCGGUCUGUUGCAUGGUGGGUUUGGGAGAGUUAUGGUUUCGGUGCGGGCUGUGCUCGCGGCCUAUGAGCUUGUUGGUGGGGUGAUGGCCUCCGAAGGCGGUGACGGGUCGCCGGCCUGAGAGGGUGGGCGGCCACACUGGGACUGAGACACGGCACAGACUGAUACGGGAGGCAGCAGGGGGGAAUAUGGCACAAUGGGCGCAAGACUGAGGCAGCGGCGCCGAGUGAGGGAGGGAGGCCUUCGGGUUGUGAACCUCUUUCGCCAGUGAAGCAGGCCUGCCUCGUUUGUGGGUGGGUUGACGGUAGCUGGAUAAGAAGCGCCGGCUAACUACGUG
Molecule: ribosomal RNA, 494 nt
Filed under: uncultured bacterium
Lineage: Bacteria
Description: partial 16S ribosomal RNA
Rfam family: Bacterial small subunit ribosomal RNA
Source: RNAcentral